Molecule: non-coding RNA, 61 nt
Submitted as: unclassified sequences
Source: Rfam
GUCGGUCCUCGGUAGUGGCUUCCGGGCAGAUGAUGCCCGUGGGCCUCGAUCGAAGACCGGC